CCGAACCGAACCGAACCGAAACUGGUCGGUUUGAACCGGUUUCGGUUCGGUUUCGGUUUUGAUUUAAAAAUGAAUAAAUAAAUCGGUUUGGUUAGUUUUUUAGGUGAAAACCGGACCGAACCGGAAAUGCUCACCCCUAGUGUGCAUGUAACCCAAAGAAUAAAUAGUGUUUGUGUCAUCGACCGAGACGGUGAGCACUGUGGGCGUGCAAUGACGUUUCUGCUCGGAGGAGGCUAUGUGAUUUCUUUUUGACAGGCAGCGGUUUCUUUUCUUUAUUCUUUAUUAUUUUUUCCCAAAGGGUUCCUAUUAAGAUAGAAAGGAUACAUGGUUCAGACAAAAAAAAAAAAACAUAUUUAUCUUGUAAUCCUAUUUAUUUUUAUAUUUUAUAUUUAUCUCUCUAACCCGAAACAUGUUUGUUCUUUUUAUAUUUAUAUUUAUAUUUGUACUUUCUAUUUUAAAACAAUAAUCAGUGCAUUAAUUAGACAGACAAUUACUAUCUAAUCACAAUUAUUUUCACAAUUUACACGGCUGAAUCUUGAAACACACAUGGUGCGGCUAAUCAAGCCAAAUUUGAUAGCAUUGAAGGGGUUUUGGUGACUUUUAUUUUUCACAAGAAGAAUGAAGUGCAACAUGGUGUUAUGUUGGCUUUAUCUUGCAGCUGCAAAAUGGGAUAAAAUGGCUGUCAUUUGUCAUUUUAUGGAGUUGAAUUAAACAUAUUUGUUUUUACGUUAUAAUUUUUUUUAAUUUUGUUUUUUUAAUUUUUUUUAUCAAUAUCCUCUCUCUCAUUUCUUUUUUUAAUUGUUCGCAUUUAAAUUUUUUUAUAACUAGUAACUAAUCUUUUUUAUUGUCUCUAUAAUUUUAUAAUAUCUUAAAUAGAUUAUUAUAAUUUAUCUUUAAAUUUUACAUCGAUCUAUUGUGUUUGUAUAUAUGAUAUAUUUAUAAAAAUAAAAAUCACAUGUAUUUAAUGAACCUAAUUUCACCUCCAAGAUUGAUAAAAAAUAUAUAUUUAAAAUGAAAAGAACAAUAAAGAUAAAAUAUUUACAUGUAUAUCUAUCAUUUCCUUUUUUACUAGGAUAUAUAAUUUAUUUUGUUCUCUUCUUGGAGACCCUUCUUCUGCAUACUCAACUCACUUUAUUUCUUCAAGCUAGUGAUAUUAGAAAAAUAAAAAAAUACUAUUAAUAUUAGAAAAAACCUAUAUAUAAUUUUUUUAUAUUUUGAUAAUAUAAUACCCACUUAAGAAUAUAUUAAGAAAAUUAAUGUGAAAACAGGAAAAGAAAGAAAGCAUCACGGUAGCAAUAGUGCCAUAAACGUGUUUGUCGGAGAAAAGAAGAAAGAGCUUGGAGAGGUGGAAGAUAAUUCACAUCAAUGGUGAUGUGAAUGUUUGUACCUGAAAUAUUCUCACGGUUGAUUGAGACUUGUUGUUGCUAAUGAUUAAUCGAUUUUAAUUUAAGACAAGACUGCAAGAUCAUCGUGUACAUCGAAACAUGGAGAGAUAAUAACCUAAGGCUGGUUGGUUUGUUUUUGCGUUUUAAACGUUUAUAUUUAUCAUGUAAAUAUUAUCUGUGAGCUUGUUGAAGCUCAGGGGCCUGAUUUUGUGCCUCGAAAGAAGUAGAAAACAUUACAAAAAAAAAAACCAUACUUAUCAGUGCAUUAAUUAGUUUUACAAUUUACACGGCUGAAUCUUGAAACACCAGCCCAGUUAUUGGCCAUUUUAAGCUUCAAACGCAACGGCUGAAACCUUCGAACUUACUCUUGACUUCCAUCUGGAAGUGCUUCAUCGUUAAAUUCAUUGUUUUACUUUUAUAUAUAUAUAUAUAUAUAUAUAUAUAUAUUGAGUUAUCUCGAUAUUAUAUUUCGGAUAAUAAGUUAGUCAAAUUAACCAUGAUUGUCACUCUCUUUUUUUUUUCCUUUGAUUUGUUUUAUAAAAUUAAAAUGUUUUAAACAAUUUCAUACUUCGGUGUUAAAUUAUUGAUCCUUGAACUAAGUGAUUUUUUCACUUUUUUAUUUUAUUUUGAGUUAUCCCCAGUAUAGGUUAAUCAAAUUAACCCGGGUUAACUUGCAUUUUCUUACUCGAUGUCUUUUUAUUUAACUUCGGUUUUUUUUGUUGGGUCCUUCUUUUGGAAAUCUAACUUUUUUUAUCCUGAUUUCAUGCCGCUAGUGGCAAGUUAGUCGAGUUAACUGGGUAUUUUCCCCCCAAAUUUUUUAUGACUUGUUUUUAUUUUUUAAUUUUAUCAUUCUGCAUUAAAUUAUUUUCCUUAAACUUUUUUUUUUUUUUUUGCUUCUCUUUCUAUUUCUUUAUUUCAAGAGUGGGUUGAUCAAGCUAACUAGGGUCAACUUGCAUUUUUGUUCACAACAUUUUUUAAUUUAACUUAUGUCUUUUUUGGCUUACCCUUUAAUUUAUAGAGGUCUAAUUUUUUUAACAUGGUUGUCUCGGAUUAUCAUCGCUUGAAUAUCUUUUUUUAAUGUUGAAAAAAAUUUGGUCCGACCCUCGAUGUGGCUCAAGCCACCUUCUUUCCAAUGAACAACACUUAAAUAAUAGCAUUCAAGGAGAGGAACAAUGAUUUCCCUAUAUUAGUUUUUGUUGAUAGACUAGAUCUUUGACCUGCUCUACACUCGGGUCAGAUCAAUUUUUUUUAAAUUACAAAAGAAACAUCCAGACAUUGCUUAUAUUUUUCAAGUAAAUGAUUUUUAAAACCGCGUGGAUGUUGAGCCGAUAUGACCUGAUCGACCUGAUGGAUAUAACCCCAAACAACCUGUAAAAAUGUUGUUUGAUUACCAAAAAUUCAAGACAAUAUUUUUUUUUAAUAAUAUUAGAAUGAAAACAUAUUGAAUCGAUUCGGGCUAACACAGGUUAAUUUAUCAAAUUGACGACCUAGAUUAUAAGACUAUGAUAACCCCACAAAAAGUAAAUCAAAAUAAAUUACGAAGCUCAAUUCUCAAUCAACUCAUUGUUGAAGAAUGUAAAUGAAAAACAUUAAUUAAAAAAUAACAAAAAAUUAUCUAGGUUAACUUGUCAAACCUGUGAUCCGGGUUAUCAUAUCAAAGAUAACCUCAUGAAAAGUAGACAAAAAAAAUUACUUGAUUUAACCCGGAUUAAUAUGUCGAACCUGCGACCAAGGUCAUGAUAUUGUGAUAACCCCAUUAAAAAAAUCAAAAUAAAUUGUGAAGCCUAAUUUUUAAUAAACUCAUUGUUAAAGGUUGAAAAUAAAAAAAAAAUCAAUUUAAAAAUAGAACACAGUGAAACAACUUGAGUCUACCCGGGUUAACCCCCAAAACACGUGAUCCGAGCAUAAGACUGGAUAACCUCGUAGAAAGCAAAACAAAAUAAAUCACGAAGCCUAAAUCACAAUCAAACCAAUGUCGAAUCAUGAAAAUAUAAAAAAUGCCAAUGAAAAAGUUAAAAAAAAAAAAAAAAAAACUCAAGUCAACAGGGUUAACUCACCAAACCCACGACUCAAGUCACAAAGCUGAGAGAACCUCAUAAAAAAUAAAUCAAAAUAAAUCAUGGAGCCUAAUUCCCAGUCAACUUGAUGUUGAAUGACUAAAUUGAGAAAAAAAAACGAUCAAUUAAAAAGAGAGAAACCACAAUAAAUCUGCAACACGGGUUAUAAAUCCAAGCUAACCACAAUAAAUUAUGAAUCCUAAUAUCCAAUAAACUAAAUAUUGAAGUAUGAAAUUAGAAAAAAAAUCAGGAUAAUCUCAUAGAAAGUAAAUAAAAAAAGACCUAAGUCAACCUUAAUUAAUCUGUCAAACUCGCGAUCAAGAUCAUGAGACUGUGAUAACCUUGUUAAAAGCAAAAAUAAAUAAAUUAUGAAGCCUAGUUUUCAAUAAGCUCAUUGUUAAAGGUUGAAAAUGAAGAAAAUUAAAUUAAAAAAUGGGAUACAACAAAACAAUAUGUGUUUAUCCGUGUUAACCCACAAAACACGUGACCUAAGCAUAAAACCAAGAUAAACCCAUAGAAAACAAACCAAAAUAGUUCACGGGGCCUAAUUCGUAAUCAACCAAAUAGUGAAGGAUGAAAUAGAAAAAAUUCCAAUAAAAAAAAAUGUCAAUAAAAACUCAAGUUAAGUAGGUUGACCCGCCAAACCCGCGACUCGAGUAAUAAGACUGAGAUAACAUUAUAUAAAGCAAACUAAAAUAAAUCAUGAAACCUAAUUCCCAAUCAACCUAAUGUUGAAUGAUGAAAUUGAAAAAAAAUUAUCAAUUAAAAAAGAUAUAUAAAACUGGAGUCAACCCGCCAAACACGUGACACGGGUUACAAGAUUGAGCUAAAUAAAGCAAACCACAAUAAAUUAUAAAACCUAAUCUCCAAUAAACUAAAUAUUGAAGUAUAAAAUUAGAAAAAAUAUAUAUAUAUAGAAAAAUAAAGACAAAAAAAUGUUGUUGAAAUGAAUAGUAUUUUACAAGAUAGUGCACUAUAAAAGCACCACCUCUUUUAGUUUAUACUAGAUAUUUGACCCGUGUUUCACCAUUGGUUAGAAUUAUUAUUUUUUGACAAAAAAAUUUAUAUAUAGACUAUUUCAAUAAUUUUUUGUAUUUUAGAAAAUUCCAAGUGAAAAAAACAAUAUACAUACAUAUAAUCAAAACAAUUGAGAACUGUAUGUCUUAAUAAGUGAAAAACAAAAACUGAAAACUCGAGAGACAAGUAUAGAUUAAGAUAUUUAAUUUUGUAAGAUGUGACAUUUACACGGUUGUGUUUUCUAAAUUUAUUGAUUAAAAUAAUUGUUUUAUUCAAUCAAACAAUAAUAAAAAUAGACACACAAAUUAAGUUAAUUGAAUAAAAUAAAAUGUAAAAAAUAAUAUGCAAGGUUGCACAUAUUAGAAAUAUUAUUUGAAAAUAAAUUUCUUUUUAUUUUCAAAAUUAAAUUUCAUGUAUAUAAAAGAUUAAAAAAUAUAGAUUAAUAAGAAAUACCUCCUAAAAAAUUAAAUGCAUAAUUAAAAUAUAAUUUUCAUUUCAAAUAAGCUUUCUAAAAGCAUAAAAGAGAGAAAGAAUAUUAAUCUAAAUAAAAAUAAAAAUAAAAAUAAAAAUAAGAUUAAUUUUUAAAAAAUAGAAACAAAAAACAAAAGAAAAUCUUUUUCCCUAAAGAGAAAAAAAGUUAAUAAUGUUGUCCAUAGUAAAACUUGAGGGGUGAACCUAGACCAUGAGCUCAACCAGGUUUAAUAUUUUUUUCCCUUGAAAUUUAAACAUAAAAAAAAUAAACAAUGUCAUCCACGGUAAAACAUAAAGGGAUGAAUAAUGCAGUUGCACGAUGUUCACCUCACAUAUUUUCCCUUUAAAUUUAUAGCAAAACCUUAAAAUAAAAUAACAAACUAGUGUCGUCCAAAAUAAAACAUGAGGGGGUGAGCAGUGUAUCUACAUAGUGUUCACCCCAUAUGCAUUGUCAAAAUCUAAUUUUUUACCCUUUUAUUUUAAUUUUUUUUUUAUUACCCAAAAAAAUGAUAGCAAAAAAAAAAAGAAAAAGAAAAAAUGAUGAUGGAAGAAAUAAAAUGAUGAAAUAAUUGAAGAAGGAAUCAAAAUUUGGGUUAAGGGCAAAAUGAUUUGAAGUUUUUGUGUUCACUUAAACUUUGGAUUGGUUUUAUUAAUCAAAUCAAGAGCUUAAUUAGAGAAUUGAUAAGUUUUGAGACUUAAUUGAGCUUGGAAUUAAUUUAAAUAAUGAAAUCAGGGACUUAAUUGAAGAAAUACCAAAGUCUGGGGUUAAUUGAGGGCACAAUUGCAAUAUAUUAAAGUCCAAGGUCUAAAUUGUAAAAGGCGCCGAAAUGCAGGGAUCCAGUUACAAUUUAACUAGGAGCUUAAUUACAAAACUGUAAAAAAUUCAAGGGCCAAAAUGCAAAUAGCCAUUAAACACUAAAAAACAGCUUUGUUUCCCACUACUGUUCAUCUUCCUCCCGACUAAAACGGACGCCCACCGCUGCUCCCACCAUUACACCUGCAAUUAACACACUUUAUGGCUGGAAGAAACGGCAUUGUUCUCUGGUUAUAAAAGACAACAAGGCUAACAAGGUGUCUGGGUGAUCUGGAAGCCAACAAGCCCUUACAAGAAGUGCACGGGGCAAUUUGUGCUACCCACGCAAAUAGACACAUGAUGGCUAGGCAAAUGCAUAAUUUUUAACACGCAAAUAGAGCAGGUUAUUUUUAGCUGACCAAGGAGAAAGAUUGCAUAAUUUUGUCCGAAGGUGCCACAAAUGUCAAGUGUAUAGUGACAAAGUCAAUACGCCUCCCGCACCCUUAUUCAACAUAGUGUCUCCUUGGCCCUUUGCAAUGUGGGGAAUAGAUGUGAUUGAGCCAGCCUAUUAAUUCAAAAGCCAGUAAUGUGUAUCGUGUUAUCCUUAUAGCGAUUGAUUACUUUACCAAAUAGGUAAAGGUCUUCUCAUAUGCCCAUGUGACUUAGAAAGUGGUCAAACGGUUCAUAGACAAAGAUAUAAUCUGUAGAUAUGGUGUACCCGAGAGAGUAGUGACUGAUAAUGCUCAAAACUUCAAUGGAAAGAUAAUAGCAGAGCUUAUGCUUGCUUAUUCAUGUGCACAUCAAUCGAGCUACUUUUAUUGUUUAUACAUGUAUUUUGACUUUUAGAAACUCAUGAGGAACUUCAAACAUUCCAUUUUGACUUCAUUCCUGCAAAGAAAGCUGAUAGUCUUCAGCAUACACUCAUCAUACUUAAUCCAUUGCAUAAUCAUAACUACUAAUUCUUCUAUAGGCAAGAAAUUUUCUGGAACUCAGACUACCCUGUAACAACAACCACAAAAACAUCUCAAUUUUUUAGGAGGAAAUAUACUUGCUAGAGUUAAGUAUCAAAAUUCUCAUAUCCUGGAUGCUGAAUAUCAUCAAUGAGAGCACAAGCUGAUUUAACAGUAAAAAUCUCAUUCUUCUCUCACUGCCACACCCUUAUCUCAGCUGAAUAAAAAAUAGAUAAAUUCCACUCUGCUUUAGGUUUUGAUGACUCCAAACGCAGACACUCCCUAUUCUCAGCUUCAUGCAUGACCCCACAUUUAGCAAUACAUGUCAAUGAACGCGUUUGCUAUGAUCACACUGAUUCGUUGUGUUUUGUAACGAUGAUGUAGUUUCAAUGGAUUCCCUGACCAAAUUCCAAGCAAUCCAAUUGCCACAAGCAGAGAGCACACGAACUAAUGUUCUCCAAUGGAACAAACGCAGCCUCCAGCAUGUUACAAACCAUUCUAAAGCUUCCUUUGGGUGGUUGCCCAGCAAUCCCAUGGCACUCCAGGAAACCACAUUCCUCUCCGGAAUCUCAUUAAACGACAUCCUUGCCAGCUCUAGCUCACCGCGUUUAGCAAACCCAUCAACCAUACUCGUCCAAGAAAGCACAUCUCUAACUCCCAUACUCGUCCAAGCAGCCACAUUUCACAUUCAUGGUGAUUUGCAUUUCUAGUUUUACAUAUUCGUGAAAACUCUUCCCUAUUCUCAAACCCCCCUUCUGCGAGCAAGCUGAACGAGCGGCUCUAAUUUAAUUCUUUAAAUUCUUUGCCGCUUCCUCUCAACGCUGUCGUUUAUGCUGUAUUUGAAUAAUUUCCCUCUUCUGUUGUCUUAAUCCCUAGCUUUGUUAAUUCCAUUCGUGACACAGUGUGAGAGGGGGCAAAAGGCAAAAGGCAAAGGCAAGACAAAGCUUGGGGGUAGAUUAGCCAGACUAUAAAGGAGAAGGACUUAUUUGUACUUGUUCCAAGAUUGUGAGUCAAAAUAAUACCGCUUCUUUUCCUUCAAACGCAAUCUCGUCCUACGUUCCAGGGAAUCUUUUUACCUAAUCUCUUAAUAUAUAUUUGAAUGGCAUCUUGGCUUAAGCUCCUUCAAUUAUUGCUUUCGAAUAUUCUCAUGGUAUUGCUCUUUGUUUUUGAGGAUCCAAUUAAUAAGCAAAUCAUGGAGACUUGGCUGUUGACCCUCAACACUCUCGUCUGCAUUGACUCCUUCAAUAUCUUGGAUGUGAACCAGGCUUGGAAUAUUGGGUGUUCUUGUUUUUGAUACAUGUAAAGAGGUAAGCUAAGCAUCUCUUUCAAGAUCUCUCUAGCUGCUGCAGGGAUGCCAAAUCGCUUUCUUUCUUCAAGUUCCUUAGCAGGAGUAUUGUAUAGCAACCAACUUUCUUUGGGUUUUGCUCCAGGUUUGGGCCAAUUUUGAUGCCUUCUGUGAAUCCCUCCAUCUGGGCUUAUCAAAAGAGGAGGAAAGAAGUAAGUUUCUCUUCUCAGUUUCAGUGUUUCAGUACGCCAUAACACCAUCUCCAGCUUCUUUCAGAAGAGCAGUUCGAAGCAUUCGCAGAGCAGAAAAUAGUUUGGCGGACAGGUUCUGUCAUGUUAAAAGUUCAAUAGAUGGUCAGGAAUCUCAUCAAUCAUGAUGAAUGAAGAGAACAAAAACCCAAGACAUAAGCAUACCAAGUCCACUUCAGAUUGAGGUUGGGCAGGACUACAAGCUUGUGGAGGACUUAACUUCCCAGACAUUAGAGAGCCUUUUGCUGGAGUAGCCUCGGAUUUGCCCUGUUUUGAAGCUUUUACAGAGGAAGGGAAUCUACAAGGAGCAUGAGAUACCAGAAUGAGCAUCCUACCUGUUCAUUUCAGCUAUGAAAAACAGAAAGGUUAAAUGAUGAUAGUUUGUCCAGAGGAUCAUAAUAUGUGAGGCUAAGCAAAGCACAAGGCUAAGCUUGCUGGCUUCAUCCAACUCUUGGUCUCCAUAAUUUAGUCAAAGCCACCCUCGCUAAUGCUAUAUGUAAAUUGUAAAUUUUAUAACCAGUCGCUCCAAAGUUAAACAUCUGGACCAACCAACACAAAACUUACUCGGGCCAGAUUUCUGACAGCUUCAUCUGAAUUUCUUUGCAAAAACAUGUGUUUUGCAUAGGUUUUGCCCAAUGAAAGGGUAUGGUUUAGACCGAACAAUCCAACCCAAAUGAACUAAGACCUUGUCGGUUCUAUUUUCUCUUAUGCUCAAUAUCCACAUGCUUCUUCAGAGAAUAAUCAAAAGAAGCAUACAUUUGGCACUUUUCUUAUGCUCAAUAUCCACAUGCAUUUGGCAAUAGAGCACUGGCAUAAGUCUAAUGAAACAUGUACUCAAAAGAAGCAUGCUGAAAGGCUGCACCUUAAAACAAUCCUUUGCCCGCCAGAGCAUAGUUUGUGUGCCUUGGAUUCAUUCACCUGAAAGAAAUUAAAAUGAUCAUUUAACAUGAGAAAUUAAACAAUGAGAAUGGUAGAGUCGCUCUCUCUAUCACACUGAGUUAAGCUCUAUAUAGAAUUUGAAAAACCACAAGCACCUUUAACACUGACGAUACAGAUCUGUAAAUGUCACUUUUCUUAACUAUUUUGCAUUGUAUGAACCCAUUCUGACAAUAUAUCAAACCAGAAAGCAUGAAACCAACUCUUAAGAUGCCCUAAGCUUCAAAUUUAUAAUUAGAAGGCAAUAUCAAUUGAUAUUUUUUGCUAGAAUACUGGUAAUGUAGAUGACACUCACUUAGCAACUUUCUCUGGCGUGACAUAUAACAACUUGUAUUUACAAUAAUCAGAACAAAGUUCCCUUAGGAUCUCCUGUUGUUCAGUCCACUCCAUGUUGGCACUCAGGUAAGCAGCAGGAAUUUUUGCCUAUAGCACAAACCAAUAGGUAAGAAAAAUGCAUGCCACUAAAUGAGCAGUUUGCAGUAACCAAAGGAAAAUAAAUGCUUGACUAAAUUAGUAAGAUAGCUAGCAUACCUGUAAAAGGUGCAUUAUUUGAUCUUGGAUCAGCGACACGAGUGGAGAAAUUACUAAGGUUAUUCCAGGACAAACUAGAGCAGGAAGCUGCGUGAAUCAUUAAAAAAAAAAAAAAAAGAGUGGGUCCAUUGUUAAAACUGUGAACCAAGAAAAAGUUUAAUUUCCCAGUAUCACCAAAAAUUCAAAGAUAAAGAAAAUUUAGCCAAGCUGGUAUUCUAGAAUCAAUUCAAAUGCAAAAUAUUGUCAGAGAUAUGACUCUGGAAGUUAAACAGAUUGUCACAAAUGGAAACAGCAAAAUAAUGGAAAUUAAAUGAAACUAAAGCUGUGUCUAACAGAAUUAGACUUUAUUAGAGCUGAAUGAUCACCUGAUAUGUCAGACUUUUUCCACCUCCUGUUGGCAUUAAAACAAAGACAUCAUACCCACUCAUUGUAGCAUUGAUUACCUCUCUUUGAUUGGGGCGAAACGAGUGAUUUCCAAACACUUUUUUGUUAUUGGCCUAGCAGCAAACCAAGCAAACAGUAAUAUAGUAUGUAAUGAAACUAGUGAUUGAUAAAAUUCUAAGAAAUGGGUAAAAAUCUAGAGCAAAAGAGCACCUCCAGCUUUUUUGUCCAUGGGAAAUUUGUGCUGCUCCACUUUGAGCCUUCGAUAUAAUUAACUUCAACAAAGCUUGGAAUGUAAGGUUCUCUCUCUAAAGGAACAGAAGAAACAUCAAAGCUAUCAAUGGAAGAGAAUGAAACUGAGGGUGCAUUCCACUUUUCAUAUCCAUUCAGGUCAUUUCGUAGAUGAACCUGGGCAUCAAAUCUCAUGGGAUCUAUUUUGCAUGCAGCAGAUUGAGGUGUUUCAUACUGCAAAUUUCGAACCAAUGUGGAUGCAGAACAAUGUGACUUCUGUCUUUCCUUAUCACGAAGAUAUUUUUCAAGUUGCUGAAUUUGCUUAUUGAGCUGUGACCUAUUUAUGAAAACAGAAAUAGACAUGCAUAAGAGAGCAAAUCUAACAAUCAUUCGAGCUUAUCUCCCAAGAAAAGGAGCUGAGAGUGUUUUACAAAAUGCAAAAAGACAAUGGAGCAUAUUUUUCAUGUCUAUCAUACUAUAUUUCCUUCCAUGUAAUCCCAGAAUUCCUCUGCCAUACUCUAUUUCUAUUCUUCCUGUGAACUUUGGUUCACCUAUUGUGGCUCCAUUGAACCAAAAAAACCCAUGCAUCAAAAGGUAGUAUGAUAUCAUGGGAGAAGAAAAAGGAGAAGAAGCACAACCUAUCUUGGCGAAGCUUAUCUAUUUGCGCUUGACUCAGUUCAGCAGCAUUGUCAAGCAGAUCAUUUGAUACUGCAAUCAGCAUAUCCUUCAUUUCUUGUAAAUGUUUGGCAGCUUCUGGGCAAAGUCCUAGCUGUAAUGAUUUAAGAAUCAGGCAGAUCAAGAUGAGAAUAGAAUAGAACAGUGCAAAUAUAGUGCCCAAACCUUGAAUCCAUGACUGCAGUUUGAACACAACUCAGGUGGCACAGAAAUCUCCUCUGGCCUUGUAAAACUAUUUUGAUCUGCAGUUGGAGUUAUGAGCGGAAACUUAGAAAUUGCUGGUUGCGGUGUGCAAGUAGCUUGGUAGUGCUCCAUAACAAUUUGGUCCACAUCUAUACUCUGCCACCAAGCUAACAUGUGCAAGGAGCAUGAGAUACCAGAAUGAGCAUCCUACCUGUUCAUUUCAGCUAUGAAAAACAUCGAUGUUUGUUUCAUAGCAUCAUCACCAAUGUAUUAGCUCCCAUGAUUUAAAGAACUAUAUAUAUGUUAAAUCUAUUUCUUUUUUAUUCAUUUCGAUUUAUUUAUCCAUCAAAUCAAUGGAAAUCUUCAUUUUCAGACACUUGAAAAGCGCACAAAAUAGAAAAAAUUAAAAUUAAAAACCAACAAAAUUGAAAAACCUGGAAAUGUAAAAACUUGAAGAAAUAAAAAAAAAAAUUAUUGGAAAAGUAAGGUCAUUACAUAUAUACUAUAUAACUCAUACUAUUAGAGACAGAAUCUGAUCACAUAUAAUUAAUUAAAUCCAUUAUUGCUGAGAAUUACAUGCACGUAAUACAUAUUGAAGAAACUAAGAACAGCAACAUAUUUAUUUAAUUAGACUGAUGCUAAGAACAUCGAUUAUCACUACAAACAGUACUCAAACAUAAACAGAUUGACGCUCCAUGCAAAUAAUAGCUAGUUAGCUCUUGUCACUUCAACCCAAACCUCCUCACCAAACAGCAUGAAACUACUCCUCCUCUUAGCUUCAACCCUGAACUGUGACCCCAGGUUCUGGUCAUCCUCACGAUGAAGAACAACCAUGUCACCAACUCUCAGUCCAUAAUCAGCAACAAAUUGAAGCCAGCCCAUAGAAAGCACUGGAUUUUCACCAUUUCUCUUCAGGCAACGAAUGACUCGAAGCUCACCAUAGCAAUCUCUAACAUUCAAAUCAACAUAAUUAUUUCCAGCAAAAUCUAAAUGCUCUAAGCAAUGAGUUGGGAACGAGAACCGCACACGAACAUCAGUAUCAGUUAACACUUUGCUGAAGAUCUGCAUUUUUUUCUCAAGGGUCGUAAAAAGAGAGAGAAAUGGUUAUGUUUAAGCUAUCUACCGGAUUGAUACACUUGCUCAAGAUAUUGUUAAUUAGUGGAGACAAAGUGGAGACAAACAAUGUCCCACCAUAUUGCAAGUGGAAAUAUCUAACAUGGUGGAGAUGGUGGGCAUAAAUCAUGGUAUAUAUGUAUGCUCAGUAAAGAGUUCGACUGAUUUGAAAUGCUCGGUGUCUGUGUUGUGUGCAUGUAGCCCAAAGAAUAAAUAGUGUUUGUGUCAUCGACCGAGAGCGUCAGCACUGUGGGCGUGCAAUGACGUUUCUACUCGGAGGAGGCUAUGUGAUUUCUUUUUGACAGGCAGCGGUUUAUUUUCUUUAUUCUUUAUUAUUUUUUCCCAAAGGGUUCCUAUUAAGAUAGAAAGGACACAUGGUUCAGACAAAAAAAAAAAACAUAUUUAUCUUGUAAUCAUAUUUAUUUUUAUAUUUUAUAUUUAUCUCUCUAAC
This 12707-nucleotide long non-coding RNA is filed under the name Populus tremula. RNAcentral's name for it is "long non-coding RNA (PTRE_LNC002064)". The record is from RNAcentral. Lineage: Eukaryota; Viridiplantae; Streptophyta; Magnoliopsida; Malpighiales; Salicaceae.